RNAcentral lists this unclassified non-coding RNA (326 nucleotides) under Athalia rosae (coleseed sawfly). Its description in RNAcentral is "misc RNA ENSAEAG00005006230.1". The record is from RNAcentral. Lineage: Eukaryota; Metazoa; Arthropoda; Insecta; Hymenoptera; Athaliidae.
CUAGCCAUGCGAACAUUCACGCGAUGUAGGCACACCGGUACAGUAGCUUGCUUCACGUAAUGGAAUCAGGUACACUUUUGAUAAUCGGCACAAUGCUCGACUGCAUCUUCAUACCUAAUUAUCAUUGGUAAAAUUCACAUUUCUCGGAUAAUCGCUUCUAAUCGGAUAUUUCAUCCAACAAGAGAUCGCUCCCGUUUACUAAUAACACAAAACCUGCCAAUAUUUAUGGGAGGUAUAACACAUGAGUUAAAAAUGUCACAAUGGCCGUUUAAGAUUUGUAACGAGUUCACGAAACAUCGGAUAGGCCUGCCAUCCGCAAAAUAAAC